This 497-nucleotide ribosomal RNA is filed under the name uncultured bacterium. RNAcentral's name for it is "partial 16S ribosomal RNA". It matches the Rfam family "Bacterial small subunit ribosomal RNA", at positions 28 to 507 of the family's 1533-position model. The record is from RNAcentral.
GAUGAACGCUGGCGGCGUGCCUAAUACAUGCAAGUCGAGCGAACAGACGAGGAGCUUGCUCCUCUGACGUUAGCGGCGGACGGGUGAGUAACACGUGGAUAACCUACCUAUAAGACUGGGAUAACUUCGGGAAACCGGAGCUAAUACCGGAUAAUAUAUUGAACCGCAUGGUUCAAUAGUGAAAGACGGUUUUGCUGUCACUUAUAGAUGGAUCCGCGCCGCAUUAGCUAGUUGGUAAGGUAACGGCUUACCAAGGCGACGAUGCGUAGCCGACCUGAGAGGGUGAUCGGCCACACUGGAACUGAGACACGGUCCAGACGCCUACGGGAGGCAGCAGUAGGGAAUCUUCCGCAAAGGGCGAAAGCCUGACGGAGCAACGCCGCGUGAGUGAUGAAGGUCUUCGGAUCGUAAAACUCUGUUAUUAGGGAAGAACAAAUGUGUAAGUAACUAUGCACGUCUUGACGGUACCUAAUCAGAAAGCCACGGCUAACUACGUG